UGAGCAAUCUGCCCUUCUCUUCGGAAUAAGCGAGGGAAACCGCGUCUAAUGCCGAAUACGACCUCCUUUCGCAUGAUCGGAGGUGGAAAGCUCCGGCGGAGAAGGAUGAGCUCGCGGCCUAUCAGCUAGUUGGUGUGGGUAAUGGCCCACCAAGGCGACGACGGGUAGCCGGCCUGAGGAGGGUCGACCCGGCCACACGUGGGACUGAGACACCGGCCCAGACCUCCGUACGGGAGNAGCG
Molecule: ribosomal RNA, 241 nt
Filed under: uncultured bacterium
Lineage: Bacteria
Description: partial 16S ribosomal RNA
Rfam family: Bacterial small subunit ribosomal RNA
Source: RNAcentral